Molecule: ribosomal RNA, 301 nt
Filed under: uncultured bacterium
Lineage: Bacteria
Description: partial 16S ribosomal RNA
Rfam family: Bacterial small subunit ribosomal RNA
Source: RNAcentral
CAGUAGCCGCGGUAAUACAGAGGGUGCAAGCGUUAAUCGGAAUUACUGGGCGUAAAGCGCGCGUAGGUGGUUUGUUAAGUUGGAUGUGAAAGCCCCGGGCUCAACCUGGGAACUGCAUCCAAAACUGGCAAGCUAGAGUACGGUAGAGGGUGGUGGAAUUUCCUGUGUAGCGGUGAAAUGCGUAGAUAUAGGAAGGAACACCAGUGGCGAAGGCGACCACCUGGACUGAUACUGACACUGAGGUGCGAAAGCGUGGGGAGCAAUCAGGAUUAGAUACCCCGUAGUCCCUGUCUCUUAUACC